AUUGAACGCUGGCGGAAUGCUUACACAUGCAAGUCGAACGGCAGCACGGGGCAACCUGGUGGCGAGUGGCGAACGGGUGAGUAAUACAUCGGAACGUGCCCAAUCGUGGGGGAUAACGUAGCGAAAGUUACGCUAAUACCGCAUACGAUCUACGGAUGAAAGCGGGGGAUCGCAAGACCUCGCGCGAAUGGAGCGGCCGAUGUCAGAUUAGGUAGUUGGUGGGGUAAAGGCUCACCUUUUUUAAGCCAACGAUCUGUAGCUGGUCUGAGAGGACGACCAGCCACACUGGAACUGAGACACGGUCCAGACUCCUACGGGAGGCAGCAGUGGGGAAUUUUGGACAAUGGGCGCAAGCCUGAUCCAGCCAUUCCGCGUGCAGGAUGAAGGCCUUCGGGUUGUAAACUGCUUUUGUACGGAACGAAACGGCGAGCUCUAAUACAGUUUGCUAAUGACGGUACCGUAAGAAUAAGCACCGGCUAACUACGUG
This 487-nucleotide ribosomal RNA is filed under the name uncultured bacterium. RNAcentral describes it as "bacterial SSU rRNA". It matches the Rfam family "Bacterial small subunit ribosomal RNA", at positions 30 to 507 of the family's 1533-position model. The record is from RNAcentral.